This 575-nucleotide ribosomal RNA is filed under the name Talaromyces sp. Pd/17/6. RNAcentral describes it as "eukaryotic LSU rRNA". The stretch from base 188 to 341 matches the Rfam family "5.8S ribosomal RNA". The record is from RNAcentral. Lineage: Eukaryota; Fungi; Ascomycota; Eurotiomycetes; Eurotiales; Trichocomaceae.
GGGUUCGGAGUCGAGUCUCCCGCGAGCCUCACUCCCACCCGUGUCUACCGUUACCGCGUUGCUUUGGCGGGCCCACUGGAGCCUGUCGGCCUGGUCGCCGGGGGGCUGUUGCCCCCGGGUCCGCGCCCGCCGAAGCGCCCUUGAACCCUGCGUGAAUAGUGAGUCUGAGUCUCGAUUGAAUCGUUAAAACUUUCAACAACGGAUCUCUUGGUUCCGGCAUCGAUGAAGAACGCAGCGAAAUGCGAUAAGUAAUGUGAAUUGCAGAAUUCCGUGAAUCAUCGAAUCUUUGAACGCACAUUGCGCCCUCUGGCAUUCCGGAGGGCAUGCCUGUCCGAGCGUCAUUUCUGCCCUCCAGCACGGCUGGGUGUUGGGCGCUGUCCCCCCGGGGACACGCCCCAAAGGCAGUGGCGACGCCGCGUCGAGUCCUCGAGCGUAUGGAGCUUUGGUCACCUGCUCGGGAGGGAUUCGCCGGCUUCGGUCUUCCCCGAUGGGCCCUGUACAGGGCCGAUCUUUUCGGUUGACCUCGGAUCAGGUAGGGCUACCCGCUGAACUUAAGCAUAUCAAUAAGCGGAGGA